RNAcentral lists this ribosomal RNA (253 nucleotides) under uncultured bacterium. RNAcentral's name for it is "partial 16S ribosomal RNA". It matches the Rfam family "Bacterial small subunit ribosomal RNA", at positions 524 to 776 of the family's 1533-position model. The record is from RNAcentral.
UACGAAGGGUGCUAGCGUUGUUCGGAAUCACUGGGCGUAAAGCGCGCGUAGGCGGCUUUUCAAGUCAGGGGUGAAAUCCCACAGCUCAACUGUGGAAUUGCCUUUGAAACUGGGAAGCUAGAGUGUUGGAGGGGAUAGCGGAAUUGCUAAUGUAGAGGUGAAAUUCGUAGAUAUUAGCAGGAACACCGGUGGCGAAGGCGGCUAUCUGGACAACAACUGACGCUGAGGCGCGAAAGCACGGGGAUCAAACAGG